Long non-coding RNA from Hibiscus syriacus, 237 nucleotides. RefSeq lists it as uncharacterized. Lineage: Eukaryota; Viridiplantae; Streptophyta; Magnoliopsida; Malvales; Malvaceae. The record is from RefSeq and is a predicted model, not a curated record. The transcript is spliced from 2 exons.
UCAACUCGUACUGCUCGCCGUAAUGUUCAACGAGUACUGCAAGAUUCGGUUUCUUCCUACAUUUCGAAGUCACUCUAUUCAGAAUGCAGUUGAAAACGAUGAACUUGAUGAGAGAAAAGUGGGGAGAUGGGGGAAUGCAAUUGAAGAGUAUCGGCAACCAUGUUUGCGACCGGUGAGUUGUACGGAAUCCGACUCUACCUUCUAUCAGCCUUUGAUUACUUCAUUGUAGUUUUGAUG